This is a long non-coding RNA of Mustela lutreola (European mink), 1201 nucleotides long. RefSeq lists it as uncharacterized. The transcript is spliced from 3 exons. The record is from RefSeq and is a predicted model, not a curated record. Lineage: Eukaryota; Metazoa; Chordata; Mammalia; Carnivora; Mustelidae.
AUAAAGACGCCCCUGCUGUCGCUAACCCCGACACAGGCUUCAGCCGCCCCGGCCAGCGGCCUCCCCUCUGCCAUCAGCUGCCCUUGGAGUCUCCGCCCUGAGACUCGUAGUCUGCCCCCGGGGAAACCGCCCGCGCGCACCGCGCGCCCCCGGCCAGCACCUCCCGGCCACGGCCGCAGUCUCCUCCGCAGCUAUUGUGAAUAAUGCUGCUAUGAGCAUAGGUGUACAAAUUUGAAUCCACGUUCUCAAUUCUUUCAGACAGAGAUCACAAGUAGGCAGAGAAGAAGGCAGAGAGAGAGAAGGAAGCAGGCUCCCCGCUGAGCAGAGAGCUCGAUGCGGGGCUCGAUUCCAAGACCCUGCGAUCAUGACCUGAGCUGAAGGCAGAGACUUUAACCACUGAGCCACCCAGGCACCCCGGAAAUAUGCUGAUCUGAAGCUAAAGUCAAGUCUCGGCUCCAGAUCUGUUCUUUCCAACUCCACCUUGUGGUGCUAGGCCUCCAAUCCCUUCGACUACAUUUCUCCUUUGUCAGCAGAUUUUGUUUCCUUUCUAUGUUACUUCAUACCGAUUAUAGGAGAUGGACUGGAAAGCUGUAGUAAAUUUUCUGUUUCCCUGACUAGACAAUGACUGAUACAACUACUACCCAUUAAGAAAAGAACAACUUAAUGGCUGCUACACAGGUGCUCUUUGUCACCUCUCAGAUGGGCAAAAACAAGAAAGAAUAAGAUCCUGUGUUGGUCAGUGUAUGAGAACAAAUGAACUUAUAACUCUCGAAUGUAGAUUAAUACAGCCAUGAUUUCUGUGGACAAUUGGCAAUACAUGUUUGCGAUGCGUAUGUGUUUGGACCAAUAUAUUUCACUUCAUGGCAAAAAAAAAAAAAAUGAUGUUAUGUUAUUAGCUGGUCAUGGUAUUAGCUGAACCCAAUGCUUAUUUUCUAGAAUGUAGUUAUUAUUGUUGGUUAUCACAUUAUAUUUGUUGGUAAUGCCCAUCAUGUAAACAUGUUUCACCCUAUGUGGAUGUGUAUGGAUAUAUGUAGAUUUACUGAGAAUACCCAAUUCCCCUGUUAAUCCAGAGAGAAGUAAACUAUAAUGAGGAUAGAAAAAAGCAGUGCACCCUGGGAAAAAAUAUCACCUAGAAAUUGACAAAAAGCACCUACCGGUUGGAAGGCCAUUGUUCGGCACUACAUGGGAACAGUAGACCCCA